RNAcentral lists this unclassified non-coding RNA (338 nucleotides) under soil metagenome. RNAcentral describes it as "partial contains 5.8S ribosomal RNA, internal transcribed spacer 2, and large subunit ribosomal RNA". The stretch from base 1 to 120 matches the Rfam family "5.8S ribosomal RNA", at positions 35 to 154 of the family's 154-position model. The record is from RNAcentral.
GAUGAAUAACGUAGCGAAAUGCGAUAAGUAAUGUGAAUUGCAGAAUUCAGUGAAUCAUCGAAUCUUUGAACGCACAUUGCGCCCGGCAGUACUCUGCCGGGCAUGCCUGUUCGAGCGUCAUUUCAACCCUCAAGCCCUGCUUGGUGUUGGGGUCCCACGGCCGCCGUGGGCCCUGAAAGGAAGUGGCGGGCUCGCUACAACUCCGAGCGUAGUAAUUCAUUAUCUCGCUUAGGGCGUUGGGCGGCGCUCCUGCCGUUAAAGAACCAUCUUUAACUCAAGGUUGACCUCGGAUCAGGUAGGAAUACCCGCUGAACUUAAGCAUAUCAAUAAGCGGAGGA